ACGGAAGGCAGCAGUGGGGAAUAUUGCACAAUGGGCGAAAGCCUGAUGCAGCGACGCCGCGUGAGCGAAGAAGUAUUUCGGUAUGUAAAGCUCUAUCAGCAGGGAAGAUAAUGACGGUACCUGAUUAAGAAGCACCGGCUAAAUACGUGCCAGCAGCCGCGGUAAUACGUAUGGUGCAAGCGUUAUCCGGAUUUACUGGGUGUAAAGGGAGCGCAGGCGGUACGGCAAGUCUGAUGUGAAAGCCCGGGGCUCAACCCCGGUACUGCAUUGGAAACUGUCGAACUAGAGUGUCGGAGGGGUAAGCGGAAUUCCUAGUGUAGCGGUGAAAUGCGUAGAUAUUAGGAGGAACACCAGUGGCGAAGGCGGCUUACUGGACGAUAACUGACGCUGAGGCUCGAAAGCGUGGGGAGCAAACAGGAUUAGAUACCCUGGUA
This 434-nucleotide ribosomal RNA is filed under the name uncultured Roseburia sp. RNAcentral describes it as "partial 16S ribosomal RNA". It matches the Rfam family "Bacterial small subunit ribosomal RNA", at positions 341 to 792 of the family's 1533-position model. Lineage: Bacteria; Bacillati; Bacillota; Clostridia; Lachnospirales; Lachnospiraceae. The record is from RNAcentral.